GGGAAGCAGAGCUCAUUCUCCAAGGAUGAUGCUUUGCUCCAAGUGCCUAGCCUUGGCGUAUCUCUAGGUUGGCAGGACUCUGACCAACACUGCUCCAGGAAUGCAGGGGUACUUCAUAUUCCUCCAACACCAGAUCUUGUGUUGUUUUCCACACAGAGAAGAGCUAUAGGGAAUCCUAUAUCAGUGACCUGGAGCUGGACCUGGACCCAGACCACAGGGAUGCCCUGGGCACUGAGGACAAUAAGAGCAGCAGACAACAUCUCCUCCACUGCUUCUGACUCUGCUCCACAAGGCAAGGCAGCUCCCACACAGCAGGCAUCCAGCCUAACUCCCAGCAGGGAGAGAGUGAGAUGUCUGUGGAUGAGCCCACAGGGACUGUACAAUUCUGUGGGAAGACAUCUGGUAGCUUCUGGAGCAGCUGCAGCAGCCAGGACACAUGAACUACAGUGGAGGUGAGCUAUAGGACCAGGUAGCAAAGAGUCUGAUCUGGCCAAUGCUGAUCUGAAUCCCUGGGUGCAGGCAGGAACUGGGUCAGUCAGGGCUACACUGAAGGCCAGUCAAGGGCAUGCAAUGUGUCACUAACACUGUGUGUGUCCACAUUCUCAAAGUCGUGUCCAGGAAAAAACAAGUGGCCUUGAGCACUGAACUUGAGUCCAGACUCAUGGGCUACAGGAUGGCAGAUUGACCUGAGUAUGAAAUCGCAUGAGUAUGACCUCUGGCUGCUCCCUGGGCUCAGGAUAGAUGGGCCCUGAGAAGGCACCAUUCAUGGGUCUGCAGGAGUAGGGGAGAGCUUGGCAUUCACGAGCCACUCCUAACCCUUACUGGAGCCACUCUGGAAUAAAGUGUAAUGAGAUUAUAUUCAAACCCA
This 868-nucleotide long non-coding RNA is filed under the name Rattus norvegicus (Norway rat). Its description in RNAcentral is "long non-coding RNA NONRATT002181". The record is from RNAcentral. Lineage: Eukaryota; Metazoa; Chordata; Mammalia; Rodentia; Muridae.